This 457-nucleotide unclassified non-coding RNA is filed under the name Hevea brasiliensis (rubber tree). The record is from RNAcentral. Lineage: Eukaryota; Viridiplantae; Streptophyta; Magnoliopsida; Malpighiales; Euphorbiaceae.
GAAAGAAUGAGAUGAGUAUGAAUUCCACGAAUCAAUCUGACCUGUAGAACCACAGUUUUGCUUUCUCCAAGAAAUUUGGUUCGGUGAAUGCCACCCAACCACCAACCAUUACAGGCGUGCAUACUUGCUUGCAACAGAUUCAGAGGGAUGAUCCAAGCUCAUGGCUUCAUAGUUUCCAGUAUUUCUUCACACACUCUAAAAUUGGAGCUUUUUGCCAAAGAUGUGUAAAAAACAAAAAACUAAUUCCCAUUUAUGUGUGCACCGAAAAGAAUUUUAGCGCUGAUGCAGAAUUUGUCAUCUCAAUUCUCAAGCCAGCUUAUAAUUUUUCCCUCUUGAUCUAAGGUUGACAUGCGCUUGCCUCAGACAGCCAAGGGAAACAAGCUCUGUUUUAGGCUUAGAGGUAAUCACAAUGAAGAAAAUCAACGUUGAGUUAAAAUGGCAUUUCUGAAAUGAUAAU